RNAcentral lists this small RNA (122 nucleotides) under uncultured Cetobacterium sp. RNAcentral describes it as "ydaO/yuaA leader". It matches the Rfam family "c-di-AMP riboswitch aptamer (ydaO/yuaA leader)", at positions 11 to 129 of the family's 134-position model. Rfam says of the family: This family represents a conserved RNA structure found upstream of the ydaO and yuaA genes in Bacillus subtilis and related genes in other bacteria. The ydaO/yuaA element is thought to act as a genetic "off" switch for the ydaO and yuaA genes in its native state. Lineage: Bacteria; Fusobacteriati; Fusobacteriota; Fusobacteriia; Fusobacteriales; Fusobacteriaceae. The record is from RNAcentral.
UAGUCGCUGAGUUUGUUUUACAAAGCGGGGGACCCAAUUUGGGGGCGAAUUUCUUUAAUAAAGAAUAGGAUAACUCUUUCCAUCCGAGCCCGUCAGCUAACCUCGUAAGCGUAGAAAGAGAG